CCAGUUACACAUUUGUGGGCUUAUAACUUGGCUUCUGAAUGUCCUAGAGAGAUCAGGUUUGUUUUAGUGUACUCCAAUCAACAGCCGCUACAAACUCAAAAAGGAAUGGAGUCAUUAGCACUUAUGGUUUUUAAAUGGCACCCAGAAUUAUGCUGCACUAAGCACAAUUUCACAUCAUUCUGGGUUCAUUUGUAUGAAAACAAGGUCAGAUAAGGCUGAAACGUUACAGGAAGGUAGAAUCUAUUGAGUUGUAAGUGAUCUGAAUGUUUCAUGAUGAUAGCACUUUCCUAAUGGGGUCAAACCAUGUCCCAAAGGUCACCGGAUCUGGUGUCAAUUUAAAGAAGUAGUCCAGUUACACAUUUGUGGGCUUAUAACUUGGCUUCUGAAUGUCCUAGAGAGAUCAGGUUUGUUUUAAUGUACUCCAACCAACAGCCCCUACAACCACAAAAAGGAAUGGAGUCAUUAGCACUUAUGUUUUGUAAAUGGCACCCAGAAUUAUGUUGCACGAAGCACAAUUUCACAUCAUUCUGGGGUCAUUUGUGUGAAAACAAGGUCCAAUCAGCCUGAAACGUUACAGGAAGGUAGAAUCUAUUGAGUUGUAAGUGAUCUGAACGUUUCAUGAUGAUAGCACUUUCCUAAGGGGGUCAAACCAUGUCCCAAAGGUCACCGGAUCUGGUGUCAAUUUAAAGAAGUAGUCCAGUUACACAUUUGUGGACUUAUAACUUGGCUUCUGAAUGUCCUAGAGAGAUCAGGUUUGUUUUAAUGUGCUCCAAUCAACAGCCCCUACAACCACAAAAAGGAAUGGAGUCAUUAGCACUUAUGGUUUGUAAAUGGCACCCAGAAUUAUGUUGCACGAAGCACAAUUUCACAUCAUUCUGGGGUCAUUUGUGUGAAAACAAGGUCCAAUCAGCCUGAAACGUUACAGGAAGGUAGAAUCUAUUGAGUUGUAAGUGAUCUGAACGUUUCAUGAUGAUAGCACUUUCCUAAGGGGGUCAAACCAUGUCCCAAAGGUCACCGGAUCUGGUGUCAAUUUAAAGAAGUAGUCCAGUUACACAUUUGUGGACUUAUAACUUGGCUUCUGAAUGUCCUAGAGAGAUCAGGUUUGUUUUAAUGUGCUCCAAUCCACAGCCCCUACAACCACAAAAAGGAAUGGAGUCAUUAGCACUUAUGGUUUGUAAAUGGCACCCAGAAUUAUGUUGCACGAAGCACAAUUUCACUUCAUUCUGGGUCCAUUUGUGUGAAAACAAGGUCCAAUCAGGCUGAAACGUUACAUGAAGGUAGAAUCUAUUGAGUUGUAAGUGAUCUGAACGUUUCAUGAUGAUAGCACUUUCCUAAGGGGGUCAAACCAUGUCCCAAAGGUGACCGGAUCUGGUGUCAAUUUAAAGAAGUAGUCCAGUUACACAUUUGUGGGCUUAUAACUUGGCUUCUGAAUGUCCUAGAGAGAUCAGGUUUGUUUUAAUGUACUCCAAUUAACAGCCCCUACAACCACAAAAAGGAAUGGAGUCAUUAGCACUUAUGGUUUGUAAAUGUCACCCAGAAUUAUGUUGCACGAAGCACAAUUUCACAUCAUUCUGGGUCCAUUUGUGUGAAAACAAGGUCCAAUCAGGAUGAAACGCUACAAGAAGGUAGAAUCUAUUGAGUUGUAAGUGAUCUGAACGUUUCAAGAUGAUCGCACAUUCCUAUAGGGGGUAAUACCAUGUCCCAAAGGUCACCGGGCCUGGUGUCACUUUAAAGAAGUAGUCCAGUUACACCAUUGUGGGCUUAUAACUUGGCUUCUGAAUGUCCUAGAGAGGUUAGGUUUGUUUUAGUGUACUCCAAUCAAAAGCCCCUACAACCACAAAAAGGAAUGGAAUCAUUAGCACUUAUGGUUUUUAAAUGGCACCCAGAAUUAUGUUGCACGAAGCACAAUUUCACAUCAUUCUGGGUUCAUUUGUGUGAAAACAAGGUCCAAUCAGGCUGAAACGUUACAGGAAGGUAGAAUCUAUUGAGUUGUAAGUGAUCUGAACGUUUCAUGAUGAUAGCACUUUCCUAAGGGGGUCAAACCAUGUCCCAAAGGUCACCGGAUCUGGUGUCAAUUUAAAGAAGUAGUCCAGUUACACAUUUGUGUUGUGAGCUGGGAGGUGAGCACUCCACACACACCAUGACAUCACCUGGCUUGUGAGUUCUGUUUUCAGGAGAGAGAGCAGCAGCUGCAAUCGAUCAGCUGAUCAGUGGGUGGCCUUCAUAAGGAGGACGGAGGACACUGCUAAGCCGCCGGAUGAUUACGCCUACUGGUAGAGUCCCAGCCACAGUGUUAACUCGAUUUUGAAACCUUGACUUUGAACUGUCGGAUCUUAGACUUUGAACUUUGAAACCUUAGCCUUGAACUUUAGAAACGUGUUUUUUGCUAGCGAUCUUUUGCUCAGAUUUUGUUCUCGUUUUGUCUCAGGCUCAGUCAUCUUUCCAUACACCACCUCCUCGCUGAGACCUUUUGGAUUUACUACUCGACCAUACUACGUCUGGACUUCACUCCCGGUUCCCGUCCUCCUCACGGCACUAACUGCUCCCAGCACUACAGGCUCUCUCUCUCCUUCCCUCCGGUUGUAAAACCUUGCCGAUCUUCAUCACCCCGGAAUACUCAUUCACUCUCCCAGCUCACCCCUCCCUGGAGAUCCUCCACCACGCUACAUCUACGCUGCUCCCGUUUACCCAUUCACUGGAUUUCCAGUGCACCCUAAGUUCUAGUUACCAAAUAAAUCUUUAUUUUUUCA
Non-coding RNA from Nothobranchius furzeri (turquoise killifish), 2750 nucleotides. NCBI's taxonomy places the organism in Eukaryota, Metazoa, Chordata, Actinopteri, Cyprinodontiformes, Nothobranchiidae. The record is from RefSeq and is a predicted model, not a curated record.